AGGAAGUGGGGAUGACGUCAGGUCCUCAUGGCCCUUAUGGUAGGGCUACACACGUCAUACAAUGGCCGGUACAGAGGGCUGCCAACCCGCGAGGGGGAGCCAAUCCCAGAAAAACCGGUCGUAGUCCGGAUCGCAGUCUGCAACUCGACUGCGUGAAGUCGGAAUCGCUAGUAAUCGCGGAUCAGCUUGCCGCGGUGAAUACGUUCCCGGGUCUU
Molecule: ribosomal RNA, 215 nt
Filed under: uncultured Aquabacterium sp.
Lineage: Bacteria; Pseudomonadati; Pseudomonadota; Betaproteobacteria; Burkholderiales; Sphaerotilaceae
Description: partial 16S ribosomal RNA
Rfam family: Bacterial small subunit ribosomal RNA
Source: RNAcentral